UUUGCCUCAAGGCAAACCGUUGGAAACAGCGGGACGCAAAGCUAAAGGGGUGUCGGUCUGCGCAAUGCAACCACGUCAGCCAGCUGCCAAA
Molecule: non-coding RNA, 91 nt
Filed under: Bdellovibrio bacteriovorus
Lineage: Bacteria; Pseudomonadati; Bdellovibrionota; Bdellovibrionia; Bdellovibrionales; Pseudobdellovibrionaceae
Description: c-di-GMP sequence
Rfam family: c-di-GMP-I riboswitch aptamer
About the family: GEMM was predicted in a large-scale screen for bacterial structured RNA regulatory elements. Genes associated with GEMM are involved in a diverse array of functions, including chemotaxis regulation, signal transduction, secretion and chitin.
Source: RNAcentral